This 399-nucleotide long non-coding RNA is filed under the name Hordeum vulgare. RNAcentral's name for it is "long non-coding RNA (HVUL_LNC020286)". Lineage: Eukaryota; Viridiplantae; Streptophyta; Magnoliopsida; Poales; Poaceae. The record is from RNAcentral.
GCCAUGUCUUGAUCUUCCAAUGGGCGAGGUAAGUUUUGAGGCUUUCUUUGAUCCAAGAUAAUGACAUUGUAAGUUUAUUUGUUUCAAUCAUAGUUGGUUCCCUUCAAAUAGUUGUAGUGAAACAAUUUUGAUUAGUUGAAGGGGAACAAAAUCUAAUUGGAAUAGUGUUCCAUAAUCUGAAAAAUCGUAUUAGAAUCAACUAGUGUUUAAUAUGUUCCAUUGGAAUCAUAGUUGGUUCCCUUCAAAUAGUUGUAGUGAAACAAUUUUGAUUAGUUGAAGGGGAACACAAUCUGAUUGGAAUAGUGUUCCAUAAUCUGAAAAAUCGUAUUAGAAUCAACUAGUGUUUAAUAUGUUCCAUUGGAAUCAUAGUUGGUUCGCUUCAAAUAGUUGUAGUGAAAC